Vicugna pacos (alpaca) is the source of this 308-nucleotide non-coding RNA. Lineage: Eukaryota; Metazoa; Chordata; Mammalia; Artiodactyla; Camelidae. The record is from RefSeq and is a predicted model, not a curated record.
GGCGGGCGCGAGCCCAGCUGGGGUGGUAAAUAGAGUACAGACCUUUUCCCUAAGGUGUCUACCGAGGACGAAGCUUUCUACACCUUGGAGCUUUCUGCAUCCCUAAAGUUACAGCCAAACGGGCAAGGUCUGCACAGCAGAGGGAGAGCCACCAUCGUUCCCUACUACCCACCGAAUGUCAUCAAGAUAGCAUUUCUGAAGAAAGUGAAAACGCAAAUAAGUUUGCCACGGACAAGUGACGUUUGUAGAGUGAGUUCGGUUUCUUAAAAUAAGGAAAAGCUUUGUAAAACAAAAACAAAAACAAAUAC